Molecule: ribosomal RNA, 305 nt
Filed under: uncultured soil bacterium
Lineage: Bacteria
Description: bacterial SSU rRNA
Rfam family: Bacterial small subunit ribosomal RNA
Source: RNAcentral
AGAGUGAACGCUGGCGGUAGGCCUAACACAUGCAAGUCGAACGGCAGCACGGUAAGAGCUUGCUCUUAUGGGUGGCGAGUGGCGGACGGGUGAGGAAUACAUCGGAAUCUACCUUUUGGUGGGGGAUAACGUAGGGAAACUUACGCUAAUACCGCAUACGCCCUUCGGGGGAAAGCCGGGGACCAGCAAAUCGGCCGUGGUGGCUGAUAGAUCGAGCCGAGUGUUCGGAUUAGUCGUAGUUGGUAGAGGGUAAUGGCCUACGACCAAGGACGACCGAUCCGUAGCUGGUCUGGAGAGGAUGAUCA